CGAUUACGGCUCAGUAACACGUGGAUAACCUACCCUUAGGACUGGGAUAACCCUGGGAAACUGGGGAUAAUACUGGAUAGGCAAUUAUUCCUGUAAUGGUUUUUUGUUUAAAUGUUUUUUCGCCUAAGGAUGGGUCUGCGGCCGAUUAGGUAGUUGGUUAGGUAAUGGCUUACCAAGCCUUUGAUCGGUACGGGUUGUGAGAGCAAGAGCCCGGAGAUGGAACCUGAGACAAGGUUCCAGGCCCUACGGGGUGCAGCAGGCGCGAAACCUCCGCAAUGUGAGAAAUCGCGACGGGGGGAUCCCAAGUGCCAUUCUUAACGGGAUGGCUUAUCAUUAGUGUAAAGAGCUUUUGGAAUAAGAGCUGGGCAAGACCGGUGCCAGCCGCCGCGGUAACACCGGCAGCUCUAGUGGUAGCAGUUUUUAUUGGGCCUAAAGCGUCCGUAGCCGGUUUAAUAAGUCUCUGGUGAAAUCCUGCAGCUUAACUGUGGGAAUUGCUGGAGAUACUAU
This 507-nucleotide ribosomal RNA is filed under the name uncultured euryarchaeote. RNAcentral describes it as "bacterial SSU rRNA". It matches the Rfam family "Archaeal small subunit ribosomal RNA", at positions 80 to 587 of the family's 1478-position model. Lineage: Archaea; Methanobacteriati; Methanobacteriota. The record is from RNAcentral.